This 464-nucleotide ribosomal RNA is filed under the name uncultured bacterium. RNAcentral describes it as "bacterial SSU rRNA". It matches the Rfam family "Bacterial small subunit ribosomal RNA", at positions 339 to 794 of the family's 1533-position model. The record is from RNAcentral.
UUACGGAAGGCAGCAGUAAGGAAUUUUGCGCAAUGGACGAAAGUCUGACGCAGCAACGCCGCGUGAAUGAUGAAGGUCUUCGGAUUGUAAAAUUCUUUUGGACGGGAAGAAAGAUUUCUGCCCUAAUAUGGCAGAAGUGUGACGGUACCGUCUGAAUAAGGACCGGCUAACUACGUGCCAGCAGCCGCGGUAAUACGUAGGGUCCAAGCGUUGUUCGGAAUCACUGGGCGUAAAGGGAGCGUAGGCGGGAUCGUAAGUUAAGAGUACAAUACACCGGCUUAACCGGUGGCCUGCUUUUAACACUGCGAUUCUUGAGUUUGGAAGAGGGAGAUGGAAUUCCAGGUGUAGCGGUGGAAUGCGUAGAUAUCUGGAAGAACACCAGCAGCGAAGGCGGUCUCCUGGUCCUAUACUGACGCUGAGGCUCGAAAGCUAGGGGAGCAAACAGGAUUAGAUACCCUGGUAGU